GGUACAGAGACAUCUACUAAGUCAUGGGAAACCGACCAGGAAUCGUGACUCAUCUCCCAGAAGCUACAAAGGCUCAAGCACCUCUCUCUGCACGCUGGAAUUCAGAACUGUGUUGAUUUUGUGCAGGUCUUAUUCAGCCUAUGGUCAGCUGGCUUCCCUGUGCUAUAUCUGUGGUGGGCAGAAGAUCACAGAAGAAUUGUGACAGAAAAGGCUGUUAACUUCACAGCACCUGGAAGUGAAGAUAGAAAAGAAAGACCAGAGAUAAUAUGUCCCUCUUCAAAGGCAUGCUCCCAGUGACUUCCACCCUACAACUAGGCCCACCUGCUGAAGUUUCCACACUCCCAGGCGUGCUACCAGCUGUGGAUAAAGCCUUCUGCACAUGAGAAAUGAGAGAACAUCUGCAUUCAGACUAUAAUAAAUGACUAUGGCAAGUA
Non-coding RNA from Myodes glareolus (Bank vole), 434 nucleotides. The record is from RefSeq and is a predicted model, not a curated record. NCBI's taxonomy places the organism in Eukaryota, Metazoa, Chordata, Mammalia, Rodentia, Cricetidae.